Long non-coding RNA from Passer domesticus (house sparrow), 1162 nucleotides. RefSeq lists it as uncharacterized. NCBI's taxonomy places the organism in Eukaryota, Metazoa, Chordata, Aves, Passeriformes, Passeridae. The transcript is spliced from 3 exons. The record is from RefSeq and is a predicted model, not a curated record.
UCUCUAAGACAUUUUGAGGGACAAUUCCCAGAAGCCUCAGUCAGCUGAGGCAAUUCUGGGUGCGGGAGGAGCAAAAUCAUGGAGUUGGAGAGGAAAAUGCUACCCUUGGGGAGCAGGAGCCAAGGGCUGGGCAGCAGAAAUGAGGGACUGGGAGCAAAGCACAAUCUUUGACCCAUAUGAGAGCCAGUGGCCCGAAUCCUCAGCUGAAGAGGCAAAGCGGCUGAAAGCAGCAUGGGUGGGGUUUGGCUCCUUUUUUGUGUUGUGGGGCAGCUCAAGCCUUUUUCCUUUGCAUCUUGCAGGAGGCUCUGGAGAUGUUGCUCUCAGGGGGUCCUCCAACAGCUCAAGACCAUCCCUUGGCUGAUUAUCAUUACGCAGGCUCUGAUAGAUGGACACCUGAGGAGAAGGAGGCCUUCCAAAAGGCUUUCCACACCUAUGGCAAGGAUUUCCAUCUCAUCCAGAAGCAGGUAAAGCCACAGGACAUUCCUCACCUUGGCAGAUCAUCAGAAGGGACAUGUUGAUUAUUGCUGGUACCAAAUACUGCACCUAUGUCCCUCUUUUCUCAAAACUGUUAAAGUAGUCACAAAAUAGGACAUGGAAGGCCUGUGUGAAAAUGAUGAUCCUGCCUCUGCAACCCUUCUCUCCAGGCUGUUUUGGAAGACAAAGCUCUGUUCUGUUAGACUUGUCUCCCAGGUGUGCUGCUGCUUCCACAACACCUUGUGCUGGGAUAACUGUAGUGAACGGGGCAAAGAAGAACUCUGCUAGAGGGACUUGGUGUUGAUCUGUGCAUUACACGUGGUGCCACGUAGCACAAUACUCGGUUUAUUACAUUGCAUAAUGCCUCUCUGACUCCUGCAUAUUGAUUUCAUUUUACACCCUCCUCAAUUUUCUCCAUCAUUUUAAUUCCUACUUUACUCUGUAUUAUCAUUGUUCUCCAAUGCACCCUAUAGGAUGGCUGUUUCAGAUUCCUUCUUUUUCUCUUCACAACAGAUCCCGAGUAAGACCAUGGCACAGUGUGUGGAGUAUUACUACUGCUGGAAAAAAGAGCAGAAACUUACCAGCAGCACUCUUACUCAGUGGGCAAACGGAAGAGGAGGAAAAGCCCUCCCAGGAAGGAGACUGGGGAGACAGGGAAGAGAAGCCGCAAGCGGGCUGGCAGCGCGGA